UUUAUGGAGAGUUUGAUCCUGGCUCAGGAUGAACGCUGGCGGCGUGCCUAAUACAUGCAAGUCGAGCGAACGGACGAGAAGCUUGCUUCUCUGAUGUUAGCGGCGGACGGGUGAGUAACACGUGGAUAACCUACCUAUAAGACUGGGAUAACUUCGGGAAACCGGAGCUAAUACCGGAUAAUAUUUUGAACCGCAUGGUUCAAAAGUGAAAGACGGUCUUGCUGUCACUUAUAGAUGGAUCCGCGCUGCAUUAGCUAGUUGGUAAGGUAACGGCUUACCAAGGCAACGAUGCAUAGCCGACCUGAGAGGGUGAUCGGCCACACUGGAACUGAGACACGGUCCAGACUCCUACGGGAGGCAGCAGUAGGGAAUCUUCCGCAAUGGGCGAAAGCCUGACGGAGCAACGCCGCGUGAGUGAUGAAGGUCUUCGGAUCGUAAAACUCUGUUAUUAGGGAAGAACAUAUGUGUAAGUAACUGUGCACAUCUUGACGGUACCUAAUCAGAAAGCCACGGCUAACUACGUGCCAGCAGCCGCGGUAAUACGUAGGUGGCAAGCGUUAUCCGGAAUUAUUGGGCGUAAAGCGCGCGUAGGCGGUUUUUUAAGUCUGAUGUGAAAGCCCACGGCUCAACCGUGGAGGGUCAUUGGAAACUGGAAAACUUGAGUGCAGAAGAGGAAAGUGGAAUUCCAUGUGUAGCGGUGAAAUGCGCAGAGAUAUGGAGGAACACCAGUGGCGAAGGCGACUUUCUGGUCUGUAACUGACGCUGAUGUGCGAAAGCGUGGGGAUCAAACAGGAUUAGAUACCCUGGUAGUCCACGCCGUAAACGAUGAGUGCUAAGUGUUAGGGGGUUUCCGCCCCUUAGUGCUGCAGCUAACGCAUUAAGCACUCCGCCUGGGGAGUACGACCGCAAGGUUGAAACUCAAAGGAAUUGACGGGGACCCGCACAAGCGGUGGAGCAUGUGGUUUAAUUCGAAGCAACGCGAAGAACCUUACCAAAUCUUGACAUCCUUUGACAACUCUAGAGAUAGAGCCUUCCCCUUCGGGGGACAAAGUGACAGGUGGUGCAUGGUUGUCGUCAGCUCGUGUCGUGAGAUGUUGGGUUAAGUCCCGCAACGAGCGCAACCCUUAAGCUUAGUUGCCAUCAUUAAGUUGGGCACUCUAAGUUGACUGCCGGUGACAAACCGGAGGAAGGUGGGGAUGACGUCAAAUCAUCAUGCCCCUUAUGAUUUGGGCUACACACGUGCUACAAUGGACAAUACAAAGGGCAGCGAAACCGCGAGGUCAAGCAAAUCCCAUAAAGUUGUUCUCAGUUCGGAUUGUAGUCUGCAACUCGACUACAUGAAGCUGGAAUCGCUAGUAAUCGUAGAUCAGCAUGCUACGGUGAAUACGUUCCCGGGUCUUGUACACACCGCCCGUCACACCACGA
Molecule: ribosomal RNA, 1425 nt
Filed under: Staphylococcus aureus
Lineage: Bacteria; Bacillati; Bacillota; Bacilli; Caryophanales; Staphylococcaceae
Description: bacterial SSU rRNA
Rfam family: Bacterial small subunit ribosomal RNA
Source: RNAcentral